UACGGGGGGGGCAAGCGUUGUUCGGAAUUACUGGGCGUAAAGGGCUCGUAGGUGGCCAACUAAGUCAGACGUGAAAUCCCCAGGCUCAACUUGGGAACUGCGUCUGAUACUGGAUGGCUUGAAUUCGGGAGAGGGAUGCAGAAUUCCAGGUGUAGCGGUGAAAUGCGUAGAUAUCUGGAGGAACACCGGUGGCGAAGGCGGCAUCCUGGACCGAUAUUGACGCUGAGGCGCGAAAGCCAGGGGAGCAAACGGG
RNAcentral lists this ribosomal RNA (253 nucleotides) under uncultured bacterium. RNAcentral's name for it is "partial 16S ribosomal RNA". It matches the Rfam family "Bacterial small subunit ribosomal RNA", at positions 524 to 776 of the family's 1533-position model. The record is from RNAcentral.